UAAAAAAAAAAAAAGAUUCGAGUAUUUUGCCAAAUUUGAAGGUGGAGUAUUUGCCAAAUGUGAAGGGGGUUUUCAUAAUUUAUCUUAUUAUCUUGCUGAGUGCUGAGUAGAAAGGCUGAUAUUGAAGAAAUGCUGCCAUUUGGUAUUCACGUGGUUAAUUAGCAAAAGUUCCAGCAACUUAAUGAUUUAGUACUAGUUUUUAAGACUGAGUUUUUAAAAACUUUAAGUUGAUUUAAAGGAAAAUAAGUAUCGAG
This 254-nucleotide unclassified non-coding RNA is filed under the name Hevea brasiliensis (rubber tree). Lineage: Eukaryota; Viridiplantae; Streptophyta; Magnoliopsida; Malpighiales; Euphorbiaceae. The record is from RNAcentral.